This is a long non-coding RNA of Scylla paramamosain (green mud crab), 1256 nucleotides long. RefSeq lists it as uncharacterized. The record is from RefSeq and is a predicted model, not a curated record. The transcript has 3 exons. NCBI's taxonomy places the organism in Eukaryota, Metazoa, Arthropoda, Malacostraca, Decapoda, Portunidae.
CCUCCUCCUUCCCAGGCUUUACACCACCCUCACCUCCGCCUCCUUCAAGUCGUCAGGAGUUUCCAGAUGAUCGUCUUGUUGAUCCCACUCCUGCCUGGACAGGUGGCCUUGGUGGAUCAGAGGGGAGGGAACUUGUGGGUCUGGUGAGCGCUGGCAACUCCCUGGGUGAGGAUGGACUGGUGGUGGUGGUGGUGGUGGUAGUAGCGGUUGGAAGGCGAGCGUGCGAGCAGGCGCGGUGUUGUGUGUUCCUCAGUGCAGGUAUGUGCAGGGAAAGGCUUACCAACAUGGCGGACAAGUGGCGUCAGUACUCACCCCUGCUUCUCAUCCUCGACUUGAAAUCUAUGCCACUGGCCAAAUCGUCGACUAUUUUCAAAGUCUUCUGCAUCCACUCUCAGUAUGUGAGGCUCCCUGGAGGUUCGUUGGCAUUGUGCGUUUUGAUCUUCACUCGUGCCAUCCUUGUUACAUGUCAAUACAAUAAUAUAACCUACAAGGGGCCGAGGCCCGACACACAACACAACUAAAGGACAGAAAAAUGGAAGGAGCCUACCUAUGUACCUCAGUUCAGCAGUCCAGCAGCCUCUAAAAGCCCACGCAACUGCCCUGCAUGAGGUACGACCUGACCCUAUCCAACGUUUUUGCUGGAACCUUCCUCACUGGCUUAAUUAAGGCAGCUGCCCUUCUAAGGGCCCCCCUUGAGGCACUGCCCGCGGGGUUCACCUUCACCAGUGAGGAGGACACUAAGGGCGAAAAGAGAAAUACAGUGGAGAGAAAAGAUGCCUGGGCGGGACUCAACAACACCACCACCACCACCACCACGGAGUCCCCGGUACACAGGGCUUGGGAGGGUUCCCAGGUGGAAUUCUCCCUGUUGUGCAGGACAAGCACAGACGUCACUGGCAGGAUGUAGGUAGCUGGCAGUGUGGCGGGGCACAGCGGUGUUUCCACUCGCCCUCAGACCUUCACGUGGCACUCCCUAUAUAAGGCACACCAUUCUGUCUAAUCUUUUAAAGCUCCCUAGUGACUCAGCACCCACAGCCACAUUACGGAGUCCACCUGUUCAUCCACCACUCUAUCUGAGAACCACUUCCCUCCUGUCUAUUUCUCAAACGUAUUUUUUAUUCAAGUUUGCAUCGUUACCUGCCGCAGCCUUACCCUGAUUAGUGAGCCUGGACAUUUUACCUUUGUUACCCUUGAAAUAUUGAGGAUGUAUCUUGCGUUUUCUAUGGUUGCGUUAAAAAGAAAAUGUGUAUUAUUAC